CCAGUCUGGUGGUGAGUGUCCAACUCUGGAGCCCAGGCUGUUGUUUCCCAGUCUGGUGGUGAAUCCUCCACAGUCUGAGGCCCUGCAAGCUAAAGCUCAUUCCUUGUCCUACGGUUGACAAAAAUGUGUCAGAUUGCCAUGCUUCCUCGUCUACAACUAAAGGCAGCAGGCAAGGAGAACCCACUGGGUGGUUACAGGAGCACUGAAGACUGAACUCUGACCACCCAUUCUGUUACUGGAUAGUCCUGCACAGUUCCAGGCCGUUGGUGUCCUGAACAAAGAAGUGGAAGUGACACGCACAAACAGCAAAGCAGCAAAAAGUUUAUCAAGCACAAUAACACACUCUCGGAGAGGGAAGAGCAGGCUGACCUCUGAAAAAUGAGAUCAGUUUGGUGUAUUUUGGGUCAUUUUUUUUUUUUUAGACAGAAUCUUGCUCU
This 437-nucleotide long non-coding RNA is filed under the name Homo sapiens (human). RNAcentral describes it as "HSALNT0295759". Lineage: Eukaryota; Metazoa; Chordata; Mammalia; Primates; Hominidae. The record is from RNAcentral.